Molecule: small RNA, 494 nt
Filed under: Pongo abelii (Sumatran orangutan)
Lineage: Eukaryota; Metazoa; Chordata; Mammalia; Primates; Hominidae
Description: processed transcript
Source: RNAcentral
AACUCGGAAGCUCGCGCUCCCGGGCCGUGGGGGCGAGAACGCCGGCGGGGAGCCGGCGUCGCUCGCCGCCCCCAGACAGUGGCAAACUUCGCGGCGUUCCCGGAGCUCGUCCGGGCGACGCAGAUACCGCACAAAUAAAAUCAAAUCCAAUUCCCCCAUCCCAACCCGAAUGAUGGAGGCUGCGGCGGCCGGAGUGACCCCGCCGCCGCCAGCCCCAGCCCGUUAGCCGCGGACCAACAGGAUGAACUUACUGCUGUGAAUGUAAAGCAAGGCUUCAAUAAUCAGCCAGCCUUCACUGGAGAUGAACAUGGCUCAGCCAGAAAUAUUGUAAUUAACCCAUCAAAGAUUGGAGCUUAUUUUAGUAGCAUAUUAGCUGAGAAACUGAAGCUUAACACUUUCCAGGACACGGGAAAGAAGAAACCACAAGUUAAUGCUAAAGAUAAUUAUUGGCUGGUUACUGCUCGAUCCCAGAGUGCAAUUCAUAGUUGGUUUUC